Molecule: long non-coding RNA, 3052 nt
Organism: Chiroxiphia lanceolata (lance-tailed manakin)
Lineage: Eukaryota; Metazoa; Chordata; Aves; Passeriformes; Pipridae
Exons: 5
Source: RefSeq, a predicted model, not a curated record
AGCAGUGAGCAAGCCCUCGCCCAGGGGAGAGUUUUUGUUCCAAAACUGAGUUGCCAAAUAUCCCAAGCCUCAGUUCAGCCUUGUUUACUUCUGCUCGUGCAGCAGCUGAGCUUCACUCAGCAUUCAUGCAGCCUGGGGGGUAGUGAGAUUCAGACAUUAGUUCUGCCUGCCUGGAAGAGCCCCUGGGGAUCGCUGUGUCCUUCCAUAAUUAGGUGUUUUCUCUAUUUCUUCAUCUGCAAGCAUUCUGAUUUCCACAAGAUCCAUAUUGUCCCUGUAAUUGUACUUCAUCUCAGUGAGUUUCCACCCCACCAGUGCCCGGAUGCCGUCGGCAGUCUGCAGGCUGCAGAUAGACUUGGUCACGAAGAGCGAGUCGGGUGCUGUCUGCAGCUGGGCAUUGCAGCCUCUGAACUCUUCAAUGUCUCGUGGCUGAAGGGUAAAGAGGUAAAUCCGACGGCAAACUUCAUCUUCCACGUUGUGGGAAGUGGAGGCACCUUGGUUGGGAACCCACUGCUUCCUUUUCACCUUCUCGAGGUACCAGGUCCCGCUCUCCUCCAGGAAGCGAAAGACCCCGGGAGUCUGCGGUUGAUCUGUCCCUGAAAUCAGCUCCAUUGGCUGCCACAGCUGGUAGGCCAUCCCAAACCCCCCAUCCACGAUGUAGGAUUUGCCAUCAAGCACCACUUUUAGCAGCAGAUGAUCCAUUUCCUCUGGGUAGGCGUCGUGCUCCGGGACAUAAACUUUUGCUCCCAGAAGGGUGACGUCAUAGCCAAGAGUUUUCAGGACCCAAGACAAAAGGUAGUUGUUUUCCAUGCACCAGCCCCCACGUUUCUUCCUUACUAUCUUGUUGUAGGUCGCUUCCAGGUCCAGCUCAAUCGUUUCCCCACAGUGGAUGCUGAGGUUUUCAAAAGGGACAGCUUGGAUGUGGUGCUGGAAUAUAUCUGACAUAGUACCCAGGUCUGGCUUAUUGUGGGAGCCCCGGUAUCACCUGUGGAUGCCAUGGUGGCGAAGAUGUUUUUGGCAAAGUGAUGGCUAUGAAGUGUCAGCACACAGGGAGAUCCAUCCUUUCACCAUGUUUCAUGUUGCUUUUGUAUCCAUCAAUUUUGCUUGCAUUUUGCCAAGAGAAGUCUUUUUCAUUCUCUGACAUACACAGCUGGAUUUUUUCCUGUUAGUUCUCCAAAAGUAAUGCCAGUCCUUCACAUUUAGUAUCAAUGGCAAGUUCCAUUCAAACACUGAUUUAUUGGGAUAAUUAGCAGAGAUAAUAAAUCAGAUGAAGCAGACACAAUAAAUCAGAUGAAACGGAGAUAUCUGUGGUAACCCAUUACACAGAUCCACUCCCAUAUCAUAAAUUGGCUCUUUAUCAUCCCAUCAGUGGCCAGUGUUUGACCCCACAAGCGAGAACUGAUGCCCAAGCCAAGAGGCACUGAGAGGAAUGGAUAACCUGCCCUUGUCAGGCUCCUCUGGGCAGGUGCUGUACAUGGAGUAAUCUCAUCCCACAAUCUAGGAGCCCCUCGUUUUGACAGAGAGAAGCCCAAAGCUGAGCAGCCAGACCCCAGUGCUGGUGGGAACCGCACAGAAAGAAGCCCUUAGACCCGUCACUGUGUGGUGUGUGAGCAGACCUGGCUGUGCUCCUUCCAGAGUCAUUCGGGACCACAGAUGGUGCCAAAAGUGGACACGUUCUGUGCUCCCUCAGCACUGUGCCAGCUGGGUUGUGGAGAACAUGACCACAGAGAGAAUGUGGAAAUGGGAAUGUCCUUGGAAAGGACGUUGCUGUCCACCUGGACACUGAGAUGCCAUUUCCCGUGGCAGGAGCUGAAGCUGCCUGAGCUUUUUCUAGAAGAUCCUCAAUAUAUUAAAUAGCUGUGGCUACAUAUCCUUCUGGGUUUGUAUCUGCAACAUCCACCACGUGAAGUUGGGUGGUGUCCAUCCCACUGGCCAAAGGAUGAGUCUGCAACUACAGCAGCAUCUUUUGCUCAUGGAACUACAGAGGGGAGCAGCUGUGCUGGACAUUUCUUGGCUUUUUCUCAGUGGUGAAGAGACCAAAUCUUGAUUUUAGCAUUUCCACUGUCUGAGGCAUCUUUCUGAGGUCUGGUGACUGUCAGAAGUUUUGUCCUCUGUUUAUUUUGCCCUGCCAAUAUGAGGUUUUUCACACAAGCCAAAUCUGAGGCUGUUAAUGCAGAGCAAAGAGCCCAUGUUGGUCUGCAGGUCCUUCCAUCCCUGAGGGUUUCAGCGUAAAUGUCUUACAUGUAAAUGGUCGUAAUUCAGCUAAAUUCCAUUACAAGGGGAACAAUCUGCUUUUCUGCAUGAAUGGCUUUAUUUCCUAUAAGUUUUGAAGGAAAAAUAGAACAUUUUAUGUAAGUGGUGAAAAGCAUCUGCCUGUUAGGAAGAAGUUGCUUCCAUUUCACAAGAAAUGAUCACACCCUCAACGUGCCCUUCCUGUUUCCAUCUCGUGGGCCUCUUCUCCUGGAAGAUGCCAGAGGUGUUGUCAAACCAUGAAAAUGCUGAGGAGAAAGUUCUGAAGGCUGGAAAGGAAAGUUGUGCUGGUUUCUCUGAACGUGUUGGUAGCUGGGUCUGUGAGAGCUGGCGAGCAGCUGGGGAGGCUCCAAGCCGUGAUAACAACGGCUUUACUGGCAUUUGGAGACAAAGUGUUGGAGAGCACUGAUGAGGAAGAUGAAGACAAGGAGAGCAAGGUGGUGUAAAUGCUCCCAUAAUUAACCAGUUAAUAAUUAAAUUCUCACUGGCUAAUGAAAGUAUGAGAGUGUAAUAUGUAAUGGGGCAUCAGCGUUGCUGGCUGGACCCUGAGACAGUUUCAUUUCACACAUCCCAAUGAGAACUGUCCAUCACGCUGUCAAAAGCCUACUCUGGAUAUUUUCCAAAGAGAAAAAUUUAGAAAUUUGGAAAAAUUUAAGGCUGAAGUGCUGUUACAGAGCUACAGCCGGGCAAAAUGGGCAUCCAUGGCAGAGCCUGCAAAUAAAGCAGAUGUUCUGUGCGGAAAUACUGUUUAAAACUCUUUAAUUUCACCACAUUUUCACCUUUAAUGUCCAGCACUCAUCAUGAU